Molecule: long non-coding RNA, 1077 nt
Filed under: Marmota monax (woodchuck)
Lineage: Eukaryota; Metazoa; Chordata; Mammalia; Rodentia; Sciuridae
Source: RNAcentral
CACAGCUGCCGGGUCAGAGGCCAUCUCACUUUUCCAAAGUGCUUCAGAGAGAGACUCACCAUCAGGGCACGAAGCUUCUGGCUGCCCCAUCCUCAGCAGAACUCUGCUUUACUGCUGGGUGGGGCUUGGGGGUUGGGGCCUACUGGAUUAGCCGUCUGGAUGGGGACAUAGUGACAUCUUCUCGUUUCUCCAUGUGCUUAGUGGCCAUUUGGAUAUCAUCUUUUGUGAAGGGCCUGUUAGAGUCUUCUGCCUGUUCCCUAUUCUGUCAUUGUCUUAUUGUAGGUAAAAGGCUUGUGGUCUGUCUGUGUGGGGUUCUUUGGUGCUAGAGAUUGCACCAAGGUCCUCCUCCUUGCUAAGCAUGCACCCUACCACUGAGCUGUCUCCCAGGCCCAGGGAAGAGCUGUAAAACAUGUAUUUUGGUGUCAGUCCGUUGCUAGAUGCGUGAAUUGGAAGCGCCUACUUAAUGGUUACCUUUCCCCUAGUUCUAAUGGUGGGUUCUGUAACAUUCCGUAGUCCCUGGACCUUACACUCUGUGGCGGGACGGUUUGCCUGCCCCUGCACUGUUGCCCAUAACCUCAUGGGUCCACCUGUCAUGCCUGGCUCUGGAGUGAGGCAGGGUGGGGGGGUCACUCCCUCCCGUGUUCGUUUGACAGCUGUUGUUGAAACGUCCUGCAGUGCUCCUCAGUGUCUCCUGGUCACGCACCAGACAGUGGUGUGGGUCAGUGCCGGACUCCUGCAGCUCCGCAGGUCUCGGCUGCAUUCACUGUGCUACGCUACCUUCAUGGCUCUAGCUGGAUGUGAAAUCUAGUAAGAAGGGUUUCCUUUCUCGCCGCAUCCUCGCCUGCAAUUGUUAUUUUUGAUUGGUUGGUUAAUAGCCACGUAACUAGAGUAAAAUGGAAUCUCAUUGUAGUUUUGGUUUGCUUUUCCCUGAUGGCUGAAGAUACGGAGUACAUUUUCACAUAUUUAUUUGCCAUUUGUAUUAUUCCUUUUGAGAAGUAUGUAUUGAGGUCAUUUUUUGGUUGGAUUACUUGUGUUUUAUUGCUGGUUGUGUGUGUGGUUUAAUAUUUUGGGGUUUUU